This 447-nucleotide ribosomal RNA is filed under the name uncultured bacterium. RNAcentral describes it as "bacterial SSU rRNA". It matches the Rfam family "Bacterial small subunit ribosomal RNA", at positions 355 to 825 of the family's 1533-position model. The record is from RNAcentral.
UCGGGAAUUUUGGGCAAUGGGCGAAAGCCUGGCCCAGCAACGCCGCGUGAAGGAUGAAGUAUUUCGGUAUGUAAACUUCGAAAGAAUAGGAAGAAUAAAUGACGGUACUAUUUAUAAGGUCCGGCUAACUACGUGCCAGCAGCCGCGGUAAUACGUAGGGACCAAGCGUUGUUCGGAUUUACUGGGCGUAAAGGGCGCGUAGGCGGCUUGACAAGUCACUUGUGAAAUCUCUGGGCUUAACCCAGAACGGCCAAGUGAUACUGUCGCGCUAGAGUGCAGAAGGGGCAAUCGGAAUUCUUGGUGUAGCGGUGAAAUGCGUAGAUAUCAAGAGGAACACCUGAGGUGAAGACGGGUUGCUGGGCUGACACUGACGCUGAGGCGCGAAAGCCAGGGGAGCAAACGGGAUUAGAUACCCGGGUAGUCCCUGAGCGGGCUGGCAAGGCGCAU